UACGAAGGGGGCUAGCGUUGCUCGGAAUCACUGGGCGUAAAGGGCGCGUAGGCGGAUCUUUAAGUCGGGGGUGAAAGCCCAGGGCUCAACCCUGGAAUUGCCUUCGAUACUGGAGAUCUUGAGACCGGAAGAGGUAAGUGGAACUGCGAGUGUAGAGGUGAAAUUCGUAGAUAUUCGCAAGAACACCGGUGGCGAAGGCGGCGACCUGGUCCAUUACUGACGCUGAGGCGCGACAGCGUGGGGAGCAAACAGG
RNAcentral lists this ribosomal RNA (253 nucleotides) under uncultured bacterium. RNAcentral's name for it is "partial 16S ribosomal RNA". It matches the Rfam family "Bacterial small subunit ribosomal RNA", at positions 524 to 776 of the family's 1533-position model. The record is from RNAcentral.